AGUUAAUAAGUCUAGGGGACAUUAUACCUUGAAAGUAUAAAAGGAAAGUUUAAACCUUUCAUUAACUU
RNAcentral lists this transfer RNA (68 nucleotides) under Coptosoma variegatum. RNAcentral's name for it is "tRNA-Ser". Lineage: Eukaryota; Metazoa; Arthropoda; Insecta; Hemiptera; Plataspidae. The record is from RNAcentral.